GUAGGUGAACCUGCGGAAGGAUCAUUAUAAAAUAUUGCGUGCUCUACCUGAGGACGUGAGCUGGGUUUAAUCGCAAAUGCAAGAGAAAAUUUUUGGAGGUAGUUUGGAGAUCCAAACGAUGUCGGAUGUAAUGCGUCAACCCUUCGUAUCCCUUGCUUUAGGUGACUUGACAUUGCCCAGCAGAAGUCAACCUACUAAGCAUGCGAAGGGGGGUCAGUUUAGCAUGGAUGGUAUACUGAGAGGUCAUGGG
RNAcentral lists this unclassified non-coding RNA (250 nucleotides) under plant metagenome. RNAcentral's name for it is "partial contains small subunit ribosomal RNA, internal transcribed spacer 1, and 5.8S ribosomal RNA". The record is from RNAcentral.